This is a long non-coding RNA of Wyeomyia smithii (pitcher-plant mosquito), 466 nucleotides long. RefSeq lists it as uncharacterized. The record is from RefSeq and is a predicted model, not a curated record. Lineage: Eukaryota; Metazoa; Arthropoda; Insecta; Diptera; Culicidae. The transcript is spliced from 3 exons.
UUGUUGGUUUCGCGGUUAACUUUCUACUUUGGUCUUCUAGUUUGGGAUCUAAAAGUAACAUAAGCACUAACGACACGAAUAGAACUUAAGGUUUAAAAUUAGUUUAUUUGACACGGCACGAUACAUUUUCUGUUUUACUGAGCCAAGUACAAUUCGUAUUAAUUCUACGUUAGCAGGGAAAAGAGGGAGGCCUUUUAUUUAUUCUCGCGGCCGACUACGAGCUAGUGGGGAUUUAAGAUUUAGGCUCUUCGUGUUCGUGUCUCCAGCGUCGUAUACGGUACAGUUGUGUCAUGUACUGGAGAUCACCGCUUCCCAGAAUGUCUCUAACGGGUACGUUCGGUUGUUUUCCUCGGGCCCGGAGGGAAUCUAUAAGCUCGGACCUAACAUCACAGAAUUCGGCACACGACCAAACAACAUGCUCGAUGUCAUGGUAGCCAUCGCCACAAACGCAGUGAUUACUGUCUAC